This 78-nucleotide transfer RNA is filed under the name Candidatus Koribacter versatilis Ellin345. Its description in RNAcentral is "tRNA-Glu (TTC) (tRNA-Glu-TTC-1-1)". It matches the Rfam family "tRNA". Rfam says of the family: Transfer RNA (tRNA) molecules are approximately 80 nucleotides in length. Their secondary structure includes four short double-helical elements and three loops (D, anti-codon, and T loops). RNAcentral also lists the same sequence under 20 other names. The record is from RNAcentral. Lineage: Bacteria; Pseudomonadati; Acidobacteriota; Terriglobia; Terriglobales; Candidatus Korobacteraceae.
GUCCCCGUCGUCUAGCCCGGCCUAGGACACCGCCCUUUCACGGCGAUAACACGGGUUCGAAUCCCGUCGGGGACGCCA